Molecule: ribosomal RNA, 253 nt
Filed under: uncultured bacterium
Lineage: Bacteria
Description: partial 16S ribosomal RNA
Rfam family: Bacterial small subunit ribosomal RNA
Source: RNAcentral
AACGUAGGACGCAAGCGUUAUCCGGAGUUACUGGGCGUAAAGCGCGGGAAGGCGGUCGUCCAAGUCUGAGGUGAAAGCGCCCGGCUCAACCGGGCGAGGCCCUUGGAAACUGGUCGACUGGAAGGCGAGAGAGGUGGGCGGAAUUCCGGGUGGAGUGGUGAAAUGCGUAGAGAUCCGGAGGAACACCAGAGGCGCAGGCGGCCCACUGGCUCGCCCUUGACGCUGCACCGCGAAAGCUAGGGGAGCGAACGGG